Molecule: ribosomal RNA, 546 nt
Filed under: uncultured bacterium
Lineage: Bacteria
Description: bacterial SSU rRNA
Rfam family: Bacterial small subunit ribosomal RNA
Source: RNAcentral
GGGGAAUAUUGCGCAAUGGGGGCAACCCUGACGCAGCCAUGCCGCGUGAAUGAAGAAGGCCUUCGGGUUGUAAAGUUCUUUCGGUAGCGAGGAAGGCAUUUAGUUUAGUAGACUAGGUGAUUGACGUUAACUACAGAAGAAGCACCGGCUAACUCCGUGCCAGCAGCCGCGGUAAUACGGAGGGUGCGAGCGUUAAUCGGAAUAACUGGGCGUAAAGGGCACGCAGGCGGUGACUUAAGUGAGGUGUGAAAGCCCCGGGCUUAACCUGGGGAUUGCAUUUCAUACUGGGUCGCUAGAGUACUUUAGGGAGGGGUAGAAUUCCACGUGUAGCGGUGAAAUGCGUAGAGAUGUGGAGGAAUACCGAAGGCGAAGGCAGCCCCUUGGGAAUGUACUGACGCUCAUGUGCGAAAGCGUGGGGAGCAAACAGGAUUAGAUACCCUGGUAGUCCACGCUGUAAACGAUGUCGAUUUGGGGGUUGAGCUUUAAGUUUGGCGCCCGUAGCUAACGUGAUAAAUCGACCGCCUGGGGAGUACGGCCGCAAGGUUA